Molecule: ribosomal RNA, 813 nt
Filed under: uncultured bacterium
Lineage: Bacteria
Description: bacterial SSU rRNA
Rfam family: Bacterial small subunit ribosomal RNA
Source: RNAcentral
CCUGGGAACUGCGUUNUGAACUGGGUAGCUAGAGUAUGUCAGAGGGGGGUAGAAUUNCACGUGUAGCAGUGAAAUGCGUAGAGAUGUGGAGGAAUACCGAUGGCGAAGGCAGCCCCCUGGGAUAAUACUGACGUUCAUGCUCGAAAGCGUGGGUAGCAAACAGGAUUAGAUACCCUGGUAGUCCACGCCCUAAACGAUGUCGAUUAGCUGUUGGGCAGCUUGACUGCUUAGUAGCGUAGCUAACGCGUGAAAUCGACCGCCUGGGGAGUACGGUCGCAAGAUUAAAACUCAAAGGAAUUGUCGGGGACCCGCACAAGCGGUGGAUGAUGUGGAUUAAUUCGAUGCAACGCGAAGAACCUUACCUGGUCUUGACAUGUACGGAACCUUCCAGAGACGGAAGGGUGCCUUCGGGAGCCGUAACACAGGUGCUGCAUGGCUGUCGUCAGCUCGUGUCGUGAGAUGUUGGGUUAAGUCCCGCAACGAGCGCAACCCUUGUCAUUAGUUGCCAUCAUUCAGUUGGGCACUCUAAUGAGACUGCCGGUGACAAACCGGAGGAAGGUGGGGAUGACGUCAAGUCCUCAUGGCCCUUAUGACCAGGGCUUCACACGUCAUACAAUGGUCGGUACAAAGGGUAGCCAAGCCGCGAGGCGGAGCCAAUCUCAUAAAACCGAUCGUAGUCCGGAUUGCACUCUGCAACUCGAGUGCAUGAAGUCGGAAUCGCUAGUAAUCGCAGGUCAGCAUACUGCGGUGAAUACGUUCCCGGGUCUUGUACACACCGCCCGUCACACCAUGGGAGUGGGGGAUACCAGAAGU